GUGCCAGCCGCCGCGGUAAUACGUAGGGGGCAAGCGUUGUCCGGAUUUAUUGGGCGUAAAGAGCGUGUAGGCGGCUAGAUAGGUCCGUUGUGAAAACUCGAGGCUCAACCUCGAGACGCCGAUGGAAACCAUCCAGCUAGAGUCCGGAAGAGGAGAGUGGAAUUCCCGGUGUAGCGGUGAAAUGCGCAGAUAUCGGGAAGAACACCCGUGGCUAAGGCGGCUCUCUAGUACGGUACUGACGCUGAGACGCGAAAGCGUGGGGAGCGAACAGGAUUAGAUACCCGUGUAGUCC
RNAcentral lists this ribosomal RNA (292 nucleotides) under uncultured bacterium. Its description in RNAcentral is "partial 16S ribosomal RNA". It matches the Rfam family "Bacterial small subunit ribosomal RNA", at positions 505 to 796 of the family's 1533-position model. The record is from RNAcentral.